Molecule: transfer RNA, 87 nt
Filed under: Chitinophagaceae bacterium
Lineage: Bacteria; Pseudomonadati; Bacteroidota; Chitinophagia; Chitinophagales; Chitinophagaceae
Description: tRNA-Leu
Rfam family: tRNA
About the family: Transfer RNA (tRNA) molecules are approximately 80 nucleotides in length. Their secondary structure includes four short double-helical elements and three loops (D, anti-codon, and T loops).
Source: RNAcentral
GCGGAGGUGGCGAAAUUGGUAGACGCACUACUUUGAGGUGGUAGCGCCGUAACUGGCGUGGGAGUUCGAAUCUCCUCUUCCGCACAA